Molecule: ribosomal RNA, 497 nt
Filed under: uncultured bacterium
Lineage: Bacteria
Description: partial 16S ribosomal RNA
Rfam family: Bacterial small subunit ribosomal RNA
Source: RNAcentral
GAUGAACGCUGGCGGCGUGCCUAAUACAUGCAAGUCGAGCGAACAGACGAGGAGCUUGCUCCUUUGACGUUAGCGGCGGACGGGUGAGUAACACGUGGGUAACCUACCUAUAAGACUGGGAUAACUUCGGGAAACCGGAGCUAAUACCGGAUAAUAUUUCGAACCGCAUGGUUCGAUAGUGAAAGAUGGCUUUGCUAUCACUUAUAGAUGGACCUGCGCCGUAUUAGCUAGUUGGUAAGGUAACGGCUUACCAAGGCAACGAUACGUAGCCGACCUGAGAGGGUGAUCGGCCACACUGGAACUGAGACACGGUCCAGACUCCUACGGGAGGCAGCAGUAGGGAAUCUGCCGCAAUGGGCGAAAGCCUGACGGAGCAACGCCGCGUGAGUGAUGAAGGUCUUCGGAUCGUAAAACUCUGUUAUUAGGGAAGAACAAACGUGUAAGUAACUGUGCACGUCUUGACGGUACCUAAUCAGAAAGCCACGGCUAACUACGUG